Molecule: microRNA precursor, 127 nt
Filed under: Vigna radiata var. radiata (mung bean)
Lineage: Eukaryota; Viridiplantae; Streptophyta; Magnoliopsida; Fabales; Fabaceae
Source: RNAcentral
AAAGUGGAGUGCAGCCAAGGGUGAUUUGCCGGCACUGACUACUUCAGUGUUAUGUGAAUAGUUAGUUCUGUUUGAUUCAUAUAUUUUCAAAUUCCGGCAAGUUUCUCUUGGCUACAUUCCGGUUUCU